RNAcentral lists this ribosomal RNA (424 nucleotides) under uncultured bacterium. RNAcentral's name for it is "bacterial SSU rRNA". It matches the Rfam family "Bacterial small subunit ribosomal RNA", at positions 354 to 796 of the family's 1533-position model. The record is from RNAcentral.
GUGGGGAAUAUUGCACAAUGGGCGAAAGCCUGAUGCAGCAACGCCGCGUGAGCGAUGAAGGCCUUCGGGUCGUAAAGCUCUGUCCUCAAGGAAGAUAAUGACGGUACUUGAGGAGGAAGCCCCGGCUAACUACGUGCCAGCAGCCGCGGUAAUACGUAGGGGGCUAGCGUUAUCCGGAAUUACUGGGCGUAAAGGGUGCGUAGGUGGUUUUUUAAGUCAGAAGUGAAAGGCUACGGCUCAACCGUAGUAAGCUUUUGAAACUGAGAAACUUGAGUGCAGGAGAGGAGAGUAGAAUUCCUAGUGUAGCGGUGAAAUGCGUAGAUAUUAGGAGGAAUACCAGUUGCGAAGGCGGCUCUCUGGACUGUAACUGACACUGAGGCACGAAAGCGUGGGGAGCAAACAGGAUUAGAAACCCCAGUAGUCC